RNAcentral lists this ribosomal RNA (468 nucleotides) under uncultured bacterium. RNAcentral describes it as "partial 16S ribosomal RNA". It matches the Rfam family "Bacterial small subunit ribosomal RNA", at positions 28 to 507 of the family's 1533-position model. The record is from RNAcentral.
GACGAACGCUGGCGGCGUGCUUAACACAUGCAAGUCGAACGGAAAGGCCCUGCUUUUGUUUGUUUCUCGAGUGGCGAACGUGUGUGUAACACGUGUGUAACCUGCCCUUGUCUUUGUGAUAUCUUCAGGAAACUGGGGCUAUUACCGGAUAUGAUCUCCUGCUGCAUGUUGUUGGUUGGUUAGUUUCGGCGGUUGGGGAUCUACUCGCUGCUUAUCAGCUUGUUGGUGGGGUAGUUCCUUACCAAGGGUUUGACGGGUAGCCGGCCUGAGAGGGUGACCGGAGACAUUGGGACUGAGAUACGGAGCAGAAUGCAACGGGAGGCAGCAGGGGGGAAUAUUGCACAAUGGGCGGAAGCCUGAGGAAGAAAGGCGGCGAGCGGGAAGAAGGGCUUCGGGUUGUAAACAGAUUUGGAAUGAGAAGAAGAGUGAGUGACGGUAAUGGGUAAAGAAGCACCGGCUAACUACGUG